Cyprinus carpio (common carp) is the source of this 1609-nucleotide long non-coding RNA. NCBI's taxonomy places the organism in Eukaryota, Metazoa, Chordata, Actinopteri, Cypriniformes, Cyprinidae. The record is from Ensembl.
UAAUGCAGAUUUGUGAAAAAAUGAAUUCACUACUGAUUUAUACAUCGUAAAAAUAGCAAAGCCUUUUAUUUAAAAAACAAAACAAAACAAAACAUCUUUUGAAGUAGGUUUACUACAAGUCAGGGCAGCAUACUGAAAAACUGUCAAAAUCAUAGUAAGGUUGAGUGCAAUAUCCAAAUAUUUCCAAUAUUUCUGCAUAGUGCAGAGAUGUCCUGACCUACCAAUUUUGUCCUCUAUUUAAAAAAAAAAAAAAAAAAAGAUUGUUUAAAAUAGAUUCUGAAAAAAUGUCCCAAGUUUUUUCACAAUUUUUCAAAUGUUUAUGAAACUUGUGAUGCAAAAAUGAUCACACAACAUCUGGUUCAAUAAUCAUAACACAUACACACAUAUUGUGAAGUCUUAAUUUGUAUGGUGUUUUUGUGUAGUCAUCGUGUGAAUGCACACUCAUUUUGUGUUUCUCAUUGUAGGUGGGAACAAGCGAAGACAUCAACUGAGAAGAAAGAUUGCUGUUGAGAAGAAAGCCUUGGAAGUUGCCAUCAAUGACCACAAUGCUACUGUGGGGGAAGUUGAAAAACUGCCUCCUCCCAAUGAACUCCUGGCUGUGGACAACUACUCCUGGCCAUGGGAAUGUCAUGGUGAUAUGGAGCAGAAAAAUUUUUUUUGACAAGGUAAUGCUGCUGGCUAGACUGAAAGAAGAAGAAUUUAUUGUGGUUCGCGAAGUCAAGCAGCACAUGGAGUACAUGAGGAGUGUUGCUGGACUGAUAGAAGAGUUUACCUUUCAGCUCACUGAAGACACCAGUGGGAAAUGCAGUACAGAGGGCUUAAUGGAGAAAGGAGGUGAGGGACUACUCUGUGUGCUGAAGAGAAGAUUGCGUGAAGUUGAAGCACAACUGGUUACAGCACGCACAACAUACAAAAGUAUUCUUGGACUGCAAACAUUGCCCUUAGAUGACUUUUCUGAAGAGGAAGACUCAGAAAAUACUUCCUCAACUGAUGAGGAACUGGGAGAGUAGUUAUUAGGCAGAUGAUGUCUAUGACUCUAAUAAGAUGUCUUCACAUUGUGUUGAACCCAAACGUCAGUGCUGUAAUAACUUGUAUGUGAAACCUGAGGUUAUUUUACUGCUGUUGUAAGAUUUCUUUGUGUUUAGAGCAUAUACUGCAAAUUUCUCUGAAACUGUAAAAACCCAUUAUGUUAGCCCAUUAGUCCCCACCCUCUGCCCCAACCCAAUCACUGGUGAUUCACAACUGUCUUUUUUUUUUUUUUUUUAGCAUUACAUUUUUGGUCUAAAUGUAUUGCGCAUCCCUACAUAGCUUCACUAUAGUUUGUAUAUAUUCUACCUACUGUAGUUUACAUAACCUAUUGUAUUGUUACUCUCUCCAACAGUGUGCUAUUCCAGCUUAUGUUUCCACGUUAGUAUAUUAAUACUCACUCACUCUCACACACUCACUCUCUCACUCGCUCACACACACACACACACACACACACACUCACACACACACACACAUACAUACACUCACUCUCUCACACACACUCUCACUAUCUCGUUCACACACUCUCACACACGCGCGCACACACACACACCCCUACCUAUCUAAAUAUAUAUAGUCUUUA